GCCCUGUACACUGUGCUGGAUGCGCCCUAUGACUUCUCCAUUAAAGACAUGCCAAACUUGAGAAACUGGUGGUGCGUCAUGUUAAUGGAGAAUCUGGAACUUGGCAGUUAUGGAAAAAUGUUUGCCCAUUGGACGGAGUCCUCCAAGGCCC
Cyprinodon tularosa is the source of this 151-nucleotide long non-coding RNA. RefSeq lists it as uncharacterized. The transcript is spliced from 3 exons. The record is from RefSeq and is a predicted model, not a curated record. Lineage: Eukaryota; Metazoa; Chordata; Actinopteri; Cyprinodontiformes; Cyprinodontidae.